Molecule: ribosomal RNA, 800 nt
Filed under: Corallococcus exiguus
Lineage: Bacteria; Pseudomonadati; Myxococcota; Myxococcia; Myxococcales; Myxococcaceae
Description: bacterial SSU rRNA
Rfam family: Bacterial small subunit ribosomal RNA
Source: RNAcentral
GGGCAACCCUUAGUAGAGCGGCGCACGGGUGCGUAACACGUGGAUAAUCUGCCUGGAUGCCUGGGAUAACCAGUCGAAAGAUUGGCUAAUACCGGAUAAGCCCACGGUCUCUUCGGAGACUGAGGGAAAAGGUGGCCUCUGUAUACAAGCUAUCACAACCAGAUGAGUCCGCGGCCCAUCAGCUAGUUGGCGGGGUAAUGGCCCACCAAGGCGACGACGGGUAGCUGGUCUGAGAGGACGAUCAGCCACACUGGAACUGAGACACGGUCCAGACUCCUACGGGAGGCAGCAGUGGGGAAUUUUGCGCAAUGGGCGAAAGCCUGACGCAGCAACGCCGCGUGUGUGAUGAAGGUCUUUGGAUUGUAAAGCACUUUCGACCGGGACGAAACCGUAAAGCCUAAUACGCUUUGCCUUGACGGUACCGGGAGAAGAAGCACCGGCUAACUCUGUGCCAGCAGCCGCGGUAAUACAGAGGGUGCAAGCGUUGUUCGGAAUUAUUGGGCGUAAAGCGCGUGUAGGCGGCUUUGCAAGUCGGGUGUGAAAGCCCUCAGCUCAACUGAGGAAGUGCGCCCGAAACUGCAGAGCUUGAGUGCCGGAGAGGGUGGCGGAAUUCCCCAAGUAGAGGUGAAAUUCGUAGAUAUGGGGAGGAACACCGGUGGCGAAGGCGGCCACCUGGACGGUAACUGACGCUGAGACGCGAAAGCGUGGGUAGCAAACAGGAUUAGAUACCCUGGUAGUCCACGCCGUAAACGAUGAGAACUAGGUGUCGUGGGAGUUGACCCCCGCGGUGCCGUAGCUAA